Non-coding RNA from Ailuropoda melanoleuca (giant panda), 200 nucleotides. Lineage: Eukaryota; Metazoa; Chordata; Mammalia; Carnivora; Ursidae. The record is from Rfam.
AGCUUUUAUUGGGUAUCAGCAGUUGUCUUUCAUUAGGAAGAAGAGUGAGGAAGGUACCAAUGGGUGUAGCCAACUUUUAAACUUUAGAAAGUUUUGAGUGCUUGAACUUACUUUUUCAUUUUACUUCAUCCUCCAAGGAGUGCAAUCACUUGGUGUGCCUACUUCACUUCUUUUAAGCGAAAGAAGAGCGAACAGGCAAC